CAGAUCGAGCAGCGAGCGACACUCUGCAAUCCAGCCUCAAAAUAUCGCAGUUGCUACUAGUUUUUUGAUCGGAGAAACAAAAGACAUAAAUAAGAACAGAAAUACAGAAUAUGAUAACUCGGUCUAAACUCGUUGAGCAACUCAGGGAUUACCAGAUCCGAUCGCAGCACAAGUGUCCUGCUCUAACUAUCUUCUCUCCCAAACCCCACAUCACUUCUUGGGUUGAUGUUGCUGUGGCAAUCUUCUGGGCAUUCGUGUUUAGCAUGCUUGUCAUAUCAUCUUUUGUGACCCUCUAUUUCAGGCACUUUUGGCUUUCUUUUCUCAUAAUCUGCCUUGGGAUUUUUCUU
RNAcentral lists this unclassified non-coding RNA (347 nucleotides) under Hevea brasiliensis (rubber tree). The record is from RNAcentral. Lineage: Eukaryota; Viridiplantae; Streptophyta; Magnoliopsida; Malpighiales; Euphorbiaceae.